This 462-nucleotide ribosomal RNA is filed under the name uncultured bacterium. RNAcentral describes it as "partial 16S ribosomal RNA". It matches the Rfam family "Bacterial small subunit ribosomal RNA", at positions 29 to 507 of the family's 1533-position model. The record is from RNAcentral.
AGUGAACGCUGGCGGCGUGCCUAAUACAUGCAAGUCGAACGGAGAUUAAGUAGCUUGCUAUUUAAUCUUAGUGGCGCACGGGUGAGUAAUAUAUAGCUAACUUGCCCAUUACUAAGGGACAACAGUUGGAAACGACUGCUAAUGCCUUAUACUCCGUAUCUAUAUAAGUAGAUACGGGAAAGUUUUUCGGUAAUGGAUAGGGCUAUAUCGUAUCAGCUAGUUGGUAAGGUAAUGGCUUACCAAGGCUAUGACGCGUAACUGGUCUGAGAGGAUGAUCAGUCACGCUGGAAGUGAGGCACGGUCCAGACUCCUACGGGAGGCGGCAGUAGGGAAUAUUGCUCAAUGGGGGAAACCCGGAAGCAGCAACGCCGCGUGGAGGAGGACACUUUUCGGAGCGUAAACUCCUUUUCUUGGGAAAGAAUUAUGACGGUACCCAAGGAAUAAGCACCGGCUAACUCCGUG